AGAAAGAUGGCUGAGUGGAUUAAAUUGUCAGAUUUGUAAUCUAGUGUAUGAGCUAAUUGUAUUGAAGGUUUGAAUCCUUUUCUUUCCA
This is a transfer RNA of 88 nucleotides. It matches the Rfam family "tRNA". Rfam says of the family: Transfer RNA (tRNA) molecules are approximately 80 nucleotides in length. The record is from Rfam.